Molecule: non-coding RNA, 29 nt
Filed under: Homo sapiens (human)
Lineage: Eukaryota; Metazoa; Chordata; Mammalia; Primates; Hominidae
Source: RNAcentral
UUAUGGCUCCCCUGAGUGCUAGUUGGAUA